RNAcentral lists this long non-coding RNA (590 nucleotides) under Chrysemys picta bellii (western painted turtle). Its description in RNAcentral is "lncRNA (ENSCPBG00000004375.1)". Lineage: Eukaryota; Metazoa; Chordata; Testudines; Emydidae. The record is from RNAcentral.
GAAAUCUCUUUGUCAUGUCCUUCACCUUGGUAAUGAAGUAAUUUCAGAGUGACAGAGCCAUUUCAGCCUGAGAGGCACAUUUCCCCCUGCGGGUAGUCAAAGGAGAAGAAUUGCUCUAUUCUGCAGCAGGCACUGAGUCUCCUCUCUCCAGAUGUCUGACUUAGCUCCUCUAUGACAAACUCCAACAGAAGGCAAUGAUUAAGAGGGCCUGACGUGGAGACGCGGACAGAAGAAUUUCUCUCGGGUGCUUCACAAAUAAAAGGCUACUCCUCACCUGUGUAAAACUCCACAUGAAAAACAAAUGCAGCAGUAGCAAGUUGAGAAGCAACCCAUUCCUAACACUCCUGCAGACCUGGACCAGUUCUCACACAGCAGACGAUGCAUCAGUCACGCCACCUUAGGUUUCUAGAUUCGAUUCGGGCACUUGUCCCAAAUACUAAUUGUACCAGCUGUGGUGGAUUUUUGAAGGAAGGAACGUUUCGUUACAAAACUGUUUCAUUGCUGAAGGUAAACAGAACUGUUGACAUGUUCAUAUUAGCUGACAUUAAACAAAGGCAGAUGCUUCCGGGCAAUCCUUGUGGCAAGUGCCA